This 235-nucleotide unclassified non-coding RNA is filed under the name Hevea brasiliensis (rubber tree). The record is from RNAcentral. Lineage: Eukaryota; Viridiplantae; Streptophyta; Magnoliopsida; Malpighiales; Euphorbiaceae.
GCCAGGGGAAUGAGGAAAACGGGGUUCUCGAGGGGUAUCAGACUCAAAGCUCCCAACCAGAAGGGGGGAAAGCUGGUUUAAGUUCACUGACUUUGAGGGAUCAGACAAUUUCACAUUGUUUGUGUCACACCAGUUUGCAAUCAGAGCCUUAACAGUGUAAUUAGGUAUAAGAUUCGUGUGAACCAAUGUCUGUCUAGUCUUCGGGCAAACAUUCAGUCCCUGAUCAAUCCAAUUU